UUUUUAUGCCUUUUUAACGUCAGAACAUCUAUGAAAGUAAAUCAACUGGACAAUGAAUUAUUUUAAAUAAACCAUAUUUCUAUAUGAUCAACAAUCAAUUAAAGGUAAAUAUUAUGCCUGCUGGAAAAAGAAAGAAACGAAGUGUUGUGUUUGCUUCAGCAAUGGCUCUUAUAAAAAUUAUCAAGCUUGGGUUCGAUUGUGCAGAUUCAGAUGCAAUAUCUAAAAGGUUGCAAAGCGAUGGCCUCAUCGAUGACAUAUUUUACUGGAUCUUUAAAAGAAACGAGACCUUGGGCACCAAAAAUUCAGUGUGAAUUUUUAUGGCUGGUCAUGUAUUGCGUAUUAUUGGAACUAGAAUUAUUUAGUUGUUACCAUGUCAAGGGAAAAGUCCAACAUAUGUUAGGUUUAACAGUUGGGGUUCUGAAAAGUGAGCUAUUUUUUUCAGGUAGAAACCUCUCACCUCAAAAUGGAGCUUUAAGAAUAUUAUAGCAUUCCUCACCAAAGAAUGCUAUAAUAAUAUAUCAUAUUGUUACAUAUCUCGAACAUUACUAACUGUAAUUCUAGCUAUGAAAGAAUAGCCAAAUUAUAUUGCAAAAAUAA
Long non-coding RNA from Eurytemora carolleeae, 597 nucleotides. RefSeq lists it as uncharacterized. The transcript is spliced from 3 exons. The record is from RefSeq and is a predicted model, not a curated record. Lineage: Eukaryota; Metazoa; Arthropoda; Copepoda; Calanoida; Temoridae.